Long non-coding RNA from Cyprinodon tularosa, 2402 nucleotides. RefSeq lists it as uncharacterized. Lineage: Eukaryota; Metazoa; Chordata; Actinopteri; Cyprinodontiformes; Cyprinodontidae. The transcript is spliced from 2 exons. The record is from RefSeq and is a predicted model, not a curated record.
GAUGGAGAAGGACCCCGAGCCGAGGGCGAAGACACCCAAAACAGCCAAGCAGUCCAAAAAAGACUCUAACAAUGAGUGGAAAACUACAUUCUCAUCAAGCAAGACCUCUUUCACCAAAGGCAGGGUUUCGUUCCUGAGGACAAAGUUGUUUAUUUCCUGGGGAAAAUCCUCAUUUUCCUGGAGCAAAACCACUGUAGCUUUGGGCAGCAACAGCAUAACGGUGGCUGUAACUUCUGUGACGCGGGGGGAGACCACAAGCUCUCUGAUGACUCUUACCUUUACCUAUGGGACCAAAUCUGUGUCUGUUGUCAAGACCACCCUUACAAGGGGAAAAGAAAAGCACAGCAACGUCUACUGGGAUUUUCACACUUGAAUCCUGCACACACAUAAAAGCUAAUGGAUGUGUCUUUGUGGUCAGUUUUAGAAGUCUUGGCCUAACCAGCAGGAUCAGAUGACACUACCGAACCCAUCGCUGGCAGCAGCUGCACCAAAAGAGACACUCUUUCCUCCACUGGACUGGCACAAGAAGUCAACAUUUGUUUUCUUGUAGUUUGGGUCAAUUCCAAAAAGAAAAGCAGGUCCCUUUUCUCACAAUUCCCCUCUGUGACGAAGCGUCAGAGCAAAGUGUUUUAUGGUCAGCGGAGGUGCGGACGGAUCUGGGCGUAAGAUGGACAGUCAGGGUGUUUGAUCGAGAGAUAAUAAAUGAGUAAAUCGGAUCUAUUCACAGGAGAGGAGCUUAAGUGAGAGCAAGGGGAUCGGCUGAUGAGUUCUCCCAAAACGUACUGAAACCUCUGCUGUAAUUAUAGAUACUUGACAGAGUUACAUUAGUUCAGAAAUCAUGAAAAAUGCAAAAGAAAGGUUGCGCAAAUGUAAAAAAAGCACAUCCAAAUUUGAAUAUUUGACAGAAAAAGGGGGGAUAAUGCACAAGAAUAAGCAAAGUUGCACAUUCCAUCCCAGUAAAUGUGGAUUUUUGUGUUUACAACCGUUUUUAUCCUUUUCUGUCAAACGCCUCAGAGGAUUAGCUCAUGUCUUUACCUUCCUGUGCCUAUUGGAACUCCACCAAUCACCUUUCUCACUCAUCUUAUGUAUUCCUCAGGUCCUCCGUGUCCACAACAACACUCAUCCUGCAGUCACCGACCACCUUGGACAUCUUAGCCAGAAUAAAAGCAGCAAACCGGUCAAUUUUACACCAAACAGAACAGGAUUUUCGGACUGUUAUUACUGCUUAUUGAAAACAUUUGGUCAUGUUAGGCUCCAAAAUUUAACUCUCUGCAGGAAGCUUCAGCUGAGUUAAAGUAAAAAAAAACCUGUUGCCACUGGCAACUGGACAUGCUUCACCACAUUUGUCCUCCAAUAUCAAUGCUGCCACUAGAGAUUCAUGCCACGAAAAACACUUCUGUUAAACAUCUCUUCAAUAUUCACAGUGUUUGUCUUGUUUGUUACGUUUUGCCUAGAUCAGAAACUGUUCCCUGACAUUUUGCAAAUAUAUGCUCUAGUUUCAAGGUUCCCCUUCACGACACACAGGUGUCCUCUGGUAAAAAUGUCUUUAAUUAAAGUAGGUAUAGCUCAGAUCAUCUAUGUAUGAUUCUGACAAGAAGCUUAGAAAAAAAACUAUUUCUUCCGAAAGCAGAACUGAAACCAUAUUCUGUUUUUCCCACCAACACAAAUUAAGAAUUGAAAGAAGUUAAUCUGUGUUGCUGACUAUAUGUUAAAAAUAUGUUUUACCACUGAGGGAAUAGACUUUUUACAUUUAUACACAUAUAUCAGGAUACAAUAACAGCUUGGCACGCCGCACUAAUGAAAAGCACUAACAUCAUUUAGCUCAUGUAGCUAUCCAGGUAUCUGUGUCUGGAUUGUGGAUAAUUUAUCAGAAGAUCGCCCAGGCUGCUGUCAUGCCCAGCCAAAGGGUCUGCUGCUGAUUCAGCAUCUCCCCUCAUUAAGGCUGCACCAUCGCAUAACAACUGCUCACAUCACCUCAGAGCGUCUGGUGUUGUAAAAAAGGUCAGAAAUAUGAGGAAAGAGAAGAUCAGACACCUGUAAAGACACCUGGAGAAAAAUCUCCAUUUAAGUGAACUUAAUCGUUAAAAGAAAUGAGGGAAAUAAAGAAUUUGGAGUUAGCGUUACUGACACAAAGCAUUGUGGGUAUUAUUUCUGUUUUGUCUUGUAUUUGUCAUUAAAAUGCUCAUAUGAUUAAAAGUGUCCUAGCACGGUCAGGGCAAAGGGAAAAUAAGUGUUUACGGUUCCUAGCUAAUCUUUGUGUUCAAAGUCCAGUGUGAGGUUUGUUGAUUUGUUAUUUUCUUUGCAGGCAUCCUCUGCUUUGUGUUGUGUGUUGUGCCUCAGUGUAUCUCACUUUAAUGCAAAAACGACCAUAAAAAGAAUAAAAAUGCUUGACUGCGUGUCUA